Molecule: long non-coding RNA, 4717 nt
Filed under: Gallus gallus (chicken)
Lineage: Eukaryota; Metazoa; Chordata; Aves; Galliformes; Phasianidae
Source: RNAcentral
GGGGCACAACCAGGCAGGGCCGAACGCUGUACACACAGUGCUGAGGAGGGCGGCUCUUUCUGCUCUCAAAUCGUGCUCCUUUUGUUGCCUUUCAACCAAAUAAAGGGAGAGAGUCGUUUUUAAAAGGCCUGAAAAGUCAACGGUUACAUUAAAAAAAAAAACCCCACUUAAAAAACCAAAGUGAUGGCGGUUUGGUCCCAACAAGUCAACACUGAGAUCUUUAUUCACAUGCUCCAUUGCUUCUUACUUCAAGAACCAAAAAUAGUUUCCAAAAUGAUCAUUUAAUUGAUGUUCCUACACAAAGGCCUAAAAGGAGAGUACGGAUUUAAAAAAAAAAAACAAACUGAAUACACAACGGGGGAGAAAAAGGGGGAAGGGGUGAGGAAACCCCGAGCUGCACUACUGCAAAUUAUAAAAGAGAAACAAAAACAUCAACUAAAGGUGGGCACAAACCCCAUUCCACGGCGCCUUCAAAGCCCGUUACCAAACAAACCCCCCAACCAAACUGAAGAACAACCAUUCUGUAAGGGCACGGACAGAACAGCCGGAGCCUCACCCAGCACUCGACCUCAUUCAGUCCACAAUGUCUUUGGGAAGAUGCGCUCCGUGAGCGGACCCAAGCAGAAAUGAUGCGUCAGUUCUCACCCCCGGGGAGGGGGGCAGAGCUCUGACAGCGCAGGGAACGUCGGGGUUAUGUCAGAGCCCUUCGAGGGGCUCCGCUCCGGGGGCCGCCCUGAGGCCCGGCACGGUGAGUGCCGCUCCCGGCACCGCGGCUAUUCGGCCGCCGACUGCAGGCUGUCUUUGUCCUCUCUGUUCUCCGUCCCGCUCUCAUCGUCUUCGAUUUCUCCUUCUUCGCCGCUGAAUUUGUCGUGAGCCCAUUUGGGGCUGGUGCUCGACUUCCUGAACAUGAAACGCCCUCGGCCUCGGGGGAAGGCACCGCGGCCACGGCCUCUGCUCACCCACUUCUCCGCGCCUUCGCCCUCGCGGUCAUCGUGCAGGUAGUACUUCUUGCUCUUCGGUGUGUACUCAGGAUCCCAAUCCUCUUCCCUGCUUCUCUUCUGGAAGUCAUUGUUGCCACCACUGUUGCUGUUAUUGUUGCCUGAAAAGUUGCCUCGGCCCCAUCCUCUCCCCCUCGCUCUGAAUUGAAAGGUCCCUCGGGCUCUUCCUCUCUCAUUUGGACCCGUGAACUCCUUAGUUCCAAGUCGGGACUUGUCAAAGCCUGUGGUGCUUUCCUCCCUCUCCUCAGUCUCCUCGGGAUACUCCUCUGCUUUCACUGAAUGAGAGGACCGUGAGGACGACGAGCUGGAUCUGGACCUCUCACGCACCCUUCGGUGUUUCUUUUUCUUUGAGCUUUUGUGACUUUUCUCCGUUUUCUCAGCUGAUCUUUCCCUUGAGUGACUCGAAUCUCUGGACUCCACCGACUCUCUGGAUUUAUCACGUUUAAGAUCUCUUUCCUUAUGUUUUUUACGGCGCUCGAUAUCAAGGCGCAGGUCAACAGGGUCAUCCUUGUAUUUCCCUUCAGCCUUGAAGCCGGGAUCUCUGGAACUUUUCGAUUCCUCUUGAGAGAAUCCAUGUUUUCUAAAAGUACUGGGAGAAAUAUCUAUCCUCCUGAAAGCAAAGGAAGCACAAAGAUAUCACCUUGAUUACAAGAUGACACUGGACACGAAACUUAAGAUUCACUGUAAAGGAGACUGUCAUAUAUUCCCAAACACAUUGAAAACUCAUUUUUCCCCACUUUUGAUGAAGCUGCUAUAGAGCAUCUUAAGUUCUCUGAUCCAACAGUUCUCCUGAUGAGAAGUUAUUGUUCACUAAGUAUCUGUUCAAGUACUUUUCCAGCUGUAGACAAAAAGACAUUUCACUUUUUCAAGUUGCUUACCCAGUAACAUCUAAAAGAUAUCAGGUCUAGCCUUCAGGAACUCAAAUGACAGACCAAGACAUUGCCUCCCCUCCACGGUAUCACUUCUGCUCAUGGAUUUAAUAACUAACUUCCUUAGUCUCAUCAGAGGCUGGGUAGGAGAUCAGACAUAACAUUAACACAAAGGCCACACUGUACUACUCCCUUAGCCAGGCACAGAUACACCCGUUUUCUCCUAUUCUUGAGUUAUUCCAGAACAACUGCAGAGUUUAAGGCCUGAAAACCCUCCUGCCACGCCACCAACCUGUGAAUUUCAGGGCUCUUUUUAUUUUUAGCUGCUUCUUGUUCCAUUCCUUUCUUUAGGUAUUUGGUAAAGCGUUCGUUCAGCGUCAUUCCUGACGAUCCAAAGUGAUGCUCUCUUACAUGAUGGACUAUAGUCACUAUGUGUUGAGCAAACAGUUCAGAAGGACUUCGCUGAGACUGAGCAGACUGAAUAUGAUGAAAUAUGGAACGAAACUCCUGCUCUUUUUUGUUGCUGUGCACAAGGUCACGACACAGCUUGCGUUCCUGAGCCAGUAUGCCACUUGGACGCGCAAGAUCUUCAUCAAAGGAGUCCAUCCGAAUAUUGACCUGGGCCUCACGAGUAAUGGAAAAGGAGGACUUGCCAGGAGCCAGCCCAUCUCCUUUGGAACCUGGCUUCUCCUUUACCUCAGAGGCCUUCCUUGGUGGGGGAGAAGAGCUUUUUUCCUGGCUUGUUUUAUAAGUGGUCACCCUAAAAUUCUUUUCAGGAACAAAGCCCCGGUGACCCGGCUCAGAUCUCUUGGAUGCUGGCCUCUCUUCUUUUUUAGAUCUCUCAGAAUAGCUCUCCUCCUCCAUUUCCUCAGACUUUCUUUGCUUCUCUUUUCCAGGUGGCAAGAACACCACACCUUCCCAUUUGCCUUGCCUAUCCUCUUCUUGACUUUUACUCGAUGUUGCUACCACUUUUGACAUAAAUUUGGGCUCAUCAUCAAAAUCCGAAUCCUUACGGCCCUUUGCCUUUUCUUUCUUUUCCUGAUCAUCCGUUUCAUCUUUGCCAUAAUGACUUUCCUUGUGGAACUCCGGGGCCUUUGGCUUGUCAAAGUCAUCUCGGAACUUGUAGCGCUUGGGUGACUGACUGCCACGGUAUCCCUUCUCAGAAUCUGCUUUGGAUGCAUAGGAAUCAGAUUUUGCCUUUCCAUCUGUUGAUCCCACCUCUGAGAAAUUCCCUUUCUCUUUAUUUUUUUCCUUCUCAACAUUUGUUACUUUCUGAUCUUUGUCCUUCCCAUUCUCCGCCUUCUGCUCUUCCAGAUACCUCUUUGAGAAGGCUCCUCCGCCAGGAGCUGUGGUUUCCUCCUUCUGAGAUGUACCAUACAUGGAACUGAUUGGCGUUGGACUUUUGCACACAGGGCUCUUUCUUGUUGGACUCAAACCUGACGAGCCGUGGUCAAAUGGACUCUGAUGAGAUCCUGCCUGAAAGGAGGUGCUGCUCUGCGACGCAGAGCUCAUCUGAGAGGGGUUGGACAGUGGGGAGCUCGACUUCUGCAAUGGACUUGGCCGAGGAGAACGCCGCCUCACCACAACUGAUUGGAGAGGGCUUUUUAACGCAGGGCUGCGUUCCCUCGGGCUGAGCUCAGGCGCAGCAGCUCUCGAUGUUGAGCUGCUACCAUAGGUGGACACAUCUUGCCAUGGUUUUGAUCCCUCAGAUGCCUUGGCAUCUUGAGCAGCUGCUCCUGAAAACGGCUGCUCUUUAGAAUCAUCACCUUGGUUAUCUCCUGCAGCCUGAGAUGCCCGGGCUUCCUUGGAAGAUGACUUUUUCUCCUUUCCAGAUUUACGCUUGGAAGACUCAACUCGGCUAUGGUUGGAGGAAGACCGAGAAGAGGAAGACCUCCUCGACCGAUCAGAUGAUGACUUAUCAGAAUUUCUAGAAUGACUUCUAGACCUUGGGGAAGGAGACCUUCUCUUGGGUGAACGGGAGCGUGACCUCCCCCUACGAGGGCUAUACGCUUGGCGGUAGUUUUGCCAGUUAGACCUGUAGUUCCCAUAUCCUCCUCUGUUAUAUUGGCCCCACGGAUAGAACCCUCGAUUUCGGCCUCGGAAAUAAUAUGGUCUCCUGUAUCCUCUGUUAUGACCUCUGAAAUCCCGGUUCUGAUAGACUCUUGGAUGGUUCCUUUCCCUGUUAUGAGAUGGAGAAUAUGACCUUGAACGGGACCUAGAACUGAGCCUGCGUUUCCUCGAGCGUGAAACAGAGCGAGAACGGGAACGAGAUUUGGAGAAGGAACGUGAGCGUGAUCUCGACCCAGAUCUCGAACGAGAAGAACGAGAUCCAGAUUUGGAUUUGUUGGUUUUAGACAUCCUGAGAGCACUCGUCAGUGACACCUGCUCCAGCAGAUUCACACUGUGUACCCUUCAACAGUCAGUUUUACUGCCUGAGUUGUGUCAAUUAUGAAACCAGGAAACAAACCUGAAAUGAGAAGAGAAUACAUUGAAGCACUUAGUAUUUACUUGUCUACUUUCCUCUGUCAGCAAACAAAAGGAGCCAGCUUCCUCAAUUCCAAUUUCAAAUGCAGCAGCCUUUGUCCCAGCCAGGAUCCCUCUCUGCAACUUUAAAACCCCAGGAAACAGAAAAUCUGACUGAGCAAAUAGAAAUGCAGUCCUACAGUGAUCGUGCAAUUUACAGCUCCAUAAAAACCACCACUUCCAUGCUCCUUAAUUCGUCUGCAUGCCAGAAGAGGUAAGUGGCACCCGCGGAUGUCAGGAGGCCAGGUUAAGCACAGUGCCUGAAGAACUGACAAAUAUUAGGUAAGAUACAAUGAUGAAAGAUAGGAAAUCAGAAGAGGCCUUGAG